RNAcentral lists this ribosomal RNA (253 nucleotides) under uncultured bacterium. RNAcentral describes it as "partial 16S ribosomal RNA". It matches the Rfam family "Bacterial small subunit ribosomal RNA", at positions 524 to 776 of the family's 1533-position model. The record is from RNAcentral.
UACGGAGGGGGCUAGCGUUAUUCGGAUUCACUGGGCGUAAAGGGUGCGCAGGUGGCUUUGUGUGUCAGGUGUGAAAUCCCGGGGCUUAACCCCGGAACUGCGCCUGAAACUGCAAAGCUAGAGCAUUGGAGAGGGAAGUGGAAUUCACGGUGUAGCAGUGAAAUGCGUAGAUAUCGUGAGGAACACCAGAGGCGAAGGCGACUUCCUGGACAAUUGCUGACACUCAGGCACGAAAGCAUGGGGAGCAAAAGGG